GGGAUAUUGCACAAUGGGGGGAACCCUGAUGCAGCGACGCCGCGUGGGCGAUGGAGUACUUCGGUAUGUAAAGCCCUAUCAGCAGGGAAGAAAAUGACGGUACCUGACUAAGAAGCCCCGGCUAAAUACGUGCCAGCAGCCGCGGUAAUACGUAUGGGGCAAGCGUUAUCCGGAUUUACUGGGUGUAAAGGGAGCGUAGGCGGCCUGGCAAGCCUGAUGUGAAAUACCGGGGCCCAACCCCGGGACUGCUCUGGAAACUGCCUGGCUGGAGUACAGGAGAGGUAAGUGGAAUUCCUAGUGUAGCGGUGAAAUGCGUAGAUAUUAGGAGGAACACCAGUGGCGAAGGCGGCUUACUGGACUGUAACUGACGUUGAGGCUCGAAAGCGUGGGGAGCAAACAGG
This 401-nucleotide ribosomal RNA is filed under the name uncultured bacterium. RNAcentral describes it as "bacterial SSU rRNA". It matches the Rfam family "Bacterial small subunit ribosomal RNA", at positions 358 to 776 of the family's 1533-position model. The record is from RNAcentral.